Molecule: transfer RNA, 77 nt
Filed under: Nitrospiraceae bacterium
Lineage: Bacteria; Pseudomonadati; Nitrospirota; Nitrospiria; Nitrospirales; Nitrospiraceae
Also listed under: 1 other name
Description: tRNA-Met
Rfam family: tRNA
About the family: Transfer RNA (tRNA) molecules are approximately 80 nucleotides in length. Their secondary structure includes four short double-helical elements and three loops (D, anti-codon, and T loops).
Source: RNAcentral
CGCGGGGUGGAGCAGCCUGGUAGCUCGUCGGGCUCAUAACCCGAAGGUCGCAGGUUCAAAUCCUGCCCCCGCCACCA